This 1200-nucleotide ribosomal RNA is filed under the name Pseudovidalia furialis. RNAcentral's name for it is "partial 16S ribosomal RNA". The record is from RNAcentral. Lineage: Eukaryota; Metazoa; Arthropoda; Insecta; Diptera; Tephritidae.
UGAUUUAAUAUAGAAUUUAUUUAUUAAUUUGUAUUGUUUUAUUUAUAAUUUAUUAAAAAUAAUUAUAUAAUUUAAUGUUCUAGUAAUUUUUAAUGAAAAAAUAAUAUUUAUUAUAGUUUAGUAGUAUUGUUAAAGAAUAUUGAAAUAUUUUGAAAAAUUUUUAUAAUAAAAGAAAAUUUUAUUUAUUGUACCUUGUGUAUCAGGGUUUAUUAAAUAAUUAAUAAAUAUUUAUUAAUCUCGAUUUUAUAAGAGUUAAUAAUUUAUAAAAGUUAAUGUAUUAAAAUUAUUUUUAAUAAAUUAUUAGAAAUGAAAUGUUAUUCGUUUAUAAAGGUAUCUAGUUUUUUCAGAAAUAAGUUUAAUUUACGAAUUUUUAAUUUUUUAUUUAAUUUUUAAAUUAAAAAAUUUAUUAAUUUGAAUAUUUUAAGGGAUAAGCUUUAAAAUAAAUUAUUAAAAAUUAAUAAUACUAAUAUAAAAUGUAUGCCUAGAAUUAGCAAUCAUUUUUGAUUUUGUUAUAAAUUAUUUUAUAAAUUAUAUUAUUUUUAAAAUUUUAAUUUUAUAUGAAAUAAUUUCUGUUAAUAUUAUUACAGGAGGCUAUAAUGAUAAAAUUAGUAUAUAUUUAUUGUUUAUAUAUUUUAUAUAUGAUAAGUUUAUAUAAAGAAUUCGGCAAAUUUUAUACUCGCCUGUUUAACAAAAACAUGUCUUUUUGAGUUAUUUUAAAAGUCUAACCUGCCCACUGAUAAUUAUAAUUAAAUGGCCGCAGUAUUCUAACUGUGCAAAGGUAGCAUAAUCAUUAGUCUUUUAAUUGAAGGCUGGAAUGAAUGGUUGGACGAAGUAUAAGCUGUUUCAUAUAAAAUUAUAAUAGAAUUUUAUAUUAUAGUUAAUAAGCUAAAAUAUUAUUAAAAGACGAGAAGACCCUAUAAAUCUUUAUAUUUUAAGUUAAUUAAAUUUUAUAGAUUUAUUUAAUUUUUAUAUCUUAGAAUAUUUUGUUGGGGUGAUAUUAAAAUUUAAGAAACUUUUAAUUUGUUUAGUUCAUUAAUUUAUGAUUUAUUGAUCCAUUAUUAUUGAUUAUAAGAUUAAGUUACUUUAGGGAUAACAGCGUAAUUUUUUUAGAGAGUUCAUAUCGAUGAAAAAGUUUGCGACCUCGAUGUUGGAUUAAGAAAAAUUUUAGGUGUAGCCGCUUAAAAAUUAAGUCUGUUCGAC